This 299-nucleotide ribosomal RNA is filed under the name Lamproderma arcyrioides. RNAcentral describes it as "partial 18S ribosomal RNA". It matches the Rfam family "Eukaryotic small subunit ribosomal RNA", at positions 80 to 343 of the family's 1831-position model. Lineage: Eukaryota; Evosea; Eumycetozoa; Stemonitida; Stemonitidae. The record is from RNAcentral.
UCUGAAUCUGCGUACGGCUCCGCAAACCAGUUGUAAACUAGAGCAAGCAAGUCUGGCGGGCUUCGGCCUCCAGACGAUAUGGAUAACCCUGGUAAUUCUGAGGCUAAUACAUGACCGCAAAACCGGGCAGCCCAGCAAUGGAUGCUCGGGGAUGUGCGAUAUGGCUUGACAAUGACCGGGAAAGGACGCACACUCAGACCGCGCUAAAAAGGAUCGGGACUCUCUUCGGAGAACCUGGCCCCAGCGGCUCUUGCUGUGUGCUUCUGACCUAUCAACUAGACGGCAGCGUAAGGGACAUG